GCCUUCGUGGUGAAUUGGAAACAUGUCCGGCUAGCAUUCCAGAAGUCCGGAGUUCGAAUCCCGGCGAGGGCA
This 72-nucleotide transfer RNA is filed under the name Stegodyphus mimosarum. It matches the Rfam family "tRNA". From Rfam's summary of the family: Transfer RNA (tRNA) molecules are approximately 80 nucleotides in length. Their secondary structure includes four short double-helical elements and three loops (D, anti-codon, and T loops). Further hydrogen bonds mediate the characteristic L-shaped molecular structure. tRNAs have two regions of fundamental functional importance: the anti-codon, which is responsible for specific mRNA codon recognition, and the 3' end, to which the tRNAs corresponding amino acid is attached (by aminoacyl-tRNA synthetases). tRNAs cope with the degeneracy of the genetic code in two manners: having more than one tRNA (with a specific anti-codon) for a particular amino acid; and 'wobble' base-pairing, i.e. permitting non-standard base-pairing at the 3rd anti-codon position. Lineage: Eukaryota; Metazoa; Arthropoda; Arachnida; Araneae; Eresidae. The record is from Rfam by way of RNAcentral.